RNAcentral lists this ribosomal RNA (481 nucleotides) under uncultured bacterium. RNAcentral describes it as "partial 16S ribosomal RNA". It matches the Rfam family "Bacterial small subunit ribosomal RNA", at positions 28 to 507 of the family's 1533-position model. The record is from RNAcentral.
GAUGAACGCUGGCGGCGUGCUUAACACAUGCAAGUCGAACGAAGCAUUUGCGACAGAUUUUUUCGGAAUGAAGUUGCUUAUGACUGAGUGGCGGACGGGUGAGUAACGCGUGGGUAACCUGCCUUGUACUGGGGGAUAGCAGCUGGAAACGGCUGGUAAUACCGCAUAAGCGCACAAUGUUGCAUGACAUGGUGUGAAAAACUCCGGUGGUAUAAGAUGGACCCGCGUCUGAUUAGCUAGUUGGUGAGAUAACAGCCCACCAAGGCGACGAUCAGUAGCCGACCUGAGAGGGUGACCGGCCACAUUGGGACUGAGACACGGCCCAGACUCCUACGGGAGGCAGCAGUGGGGAAUAUUGCACAAUGGAGGAAACUCUGAUGCAGCGACGCCGCGUGAGUGAAGAAGUAAUUCGUUAUGUAAAGCCCUAUCAGCAGGGAAGAUAGUGACGGUACCUGACGAAGAAGCUCCGGCUAAAUACGUG